Molecule: long non-coding RNA, 1207 nt
Filed under: Numida meleagris (helmeted guineafowl)
Lineage: Eukaryota; Metazoa; Chordata; Aves; Galliformes; Numididae
Description: lncRNA (ENSNMEG00000009237.1)
Source: RNAcentral
AUGUUCUUGUCCAGCAACACACUCUGUACACCCCUUCUGCUCCACGGAGGUGCCUCCUUCCCACUGAGCAGGGCAGUUGGCCAGCAGAGCUCCAUUUGGAUGAAGCCACCUACAUUUCUGGAGCCUGAGUCUGUGCUACAUGCAGAUGGGAAGCCAGCGGAACAUAUGCAGCACAGUUCCAGCAAGACUUUUUGGAGGAUGGAUGACCUGGGACCUGGGAGGAUGCAAGGCGGAGGGGAGCAGAAGGUUAUUACCAAGGACCUUCCCUCACCUGCACACCAACCACCUCAGCAUAGAAGAGAAUCUGACUGUGAUUCUGGUGGCUUACACACAAGCAGGAAACCUGCAACCAAGAGACCUUGACAGGGAGGAUGAAUCCUUGCACUGAAAUUUGGAGGUGGAGUGAACUGCAGCUAGUGCACAGCAAAUCCCACAGUUAAAGGUCUUACUUUAUCAUGAGGAUGGUGGCAAACACCACCAAGCAGCUGUGUGUAACCAUUCUGUGUGAAAAGGAUGGAUUGGUCUAAAAGAAAAAUGGAAAUAUGGAAAAAUGCUGCCCUUAUUGAAACCAUGGCAACAGCCUGCUUCUCAGCUGUAUUGAUUUCUAUCUGUAACAUUUUACCUUUUCAGUUCAAAAUGAAUAUGAAUUUUAAUAAGUCUUUUUAAUAGCAGAAGUGAAUCAUUUUCUACAGAACUCUGCAACAUUAAAAUAUUGUCAGAACAGAAAUUCUCUGGGAUUUUGGUAAGAACCAGAACAUUCAUCUCAGAGCCAAGUCUGGGGGCUAUGUUCCGGGCUGUGCUUCUACUAUUUGCAUACUCUUGGGUAAACUGCUUAAUUUCUUAUGCCUCUAAUUUGCCUUGCAGAUAUCAGUACUGAUUUACCUCAAAGGCUUGUAAGGUUAUGACCACACUGACUCAAAUUUGCUUGAAAAUCUCCAGAUAUUGGGAUCUAUAAGAUGGGGCAUUUUUACUUUUUUUUUCCUUUAAGCUGAUGGGUUUGUUUUGACUGGCUGAAUAGCUGAGUGAAUACGAUUAGUGUCAGUGUAAACAGAAAGAGAAGCACAGCUCAUGUCCAAGUGCAGGAAAUUUUGUACAUUAUGGUAAAGCAAGCCAUGAGGAACCCUAAUGGUGAGGCAGAUGUUCAAGAAUGUGCAAUCUCCAUGAUUUAGCCAGCUAAUAAACAAGCAUGUGGAGAACUGAGAGGACA